Oncorhynchus masou masou (cherry salmon) is the source of this 273-nucleotide long non-coding RNA. RefSeq lists it as uncharacterized. The transcript is spliced from 3 exons. The record is from RefSeq and is a predicted model, not a curated record. NCBI's taxonomy places the organism in Eukaryota, Metazoa, Chordata, Actinopteri, Salmoniformes, Salmonidae.
AUUCAAUGAGGAACUGAGAUGAGCAUCACUAGGCUAUCAAAUAAACAGCACACAUAGACCUACCGUUUCAAUAGGGAGCCGUUACCCGUCUCUUGAAACCCCUAACCCCUGACCCCCAAGUCAUGAUGUCGGGGAAGGGGAAGGUUAGCCCGCGUCACCGGCCAUGGUCCGUAUACCGGGCUAACACCUUUGACCACUCUGCUGAGAUGAUGGGGCUGACACUGGCAGGUAACAGUCAGGAGCCAGAUGAACCAGUGUUGGAGUUCAGCCUGG